This is a long non-coding RNA of Peromyscus eremicus (cactus mouse), 1892 nucleotides long. RefSeq lists it as uncharacterized. The transcript is spliced from 3 exons. NCBI's taxonomy places the organism in Eukaryota, Metazoa, Chordata, Mammalia, Rodentia, Cricetidae. The record is from RefSeq and is a predicted model, not a curated record.
UGCCAGCCAGCAGGGCCACCCCCGCCCCUUAGAUCCUUCCAGGCUACUGAUGGCCUUGGCAUUCCCAUCUGCCACCCCCCUUGCUUGGCAGGCCUCUGGAGAGGGGCUGGCACCCUCAGCAGGUAGUUGGGAGGCUAGAACCCCCAAAUCUUCACACCCGGCACAGCUGUGCAGAAAACACCAGCCACGAGGAAUGCCAGACAUGAGAAGAUGCCACAGAGAUGGCAGGACUUCAGCUCCCUGGAGUGCCCCACCAUGCCUGGCUUGUGCAGUGCAGACGACAGAACCCAGGACCUUGUGAAUGCUGGGUAAGAACUCUACUGACUGAACUACGGUCCCAGCCUUGUCGUCAUCAUUAUCACCAUGAUGGCUGUUCUUGGUUGUCAACUUAACCACAUCUGGAAUUAACUAAAACCCAAAACUGGAGGGCACACCUGUGAGGGAUUUCUGCCUAAUUGGAAGUGGGAAGGUCUACUUCUAAUCUAGAACUUUUAGGAACACGCACCUUUAAUUCAGAUCUUUAAUUCGCCUCUCAUCUGGGCCACACCUUCUGUUGGAAUCCUAUAUAAGGACAUGGAAGAAGGAAGAUUAUGCUCUUUGCCUGCUUGCUCUUGCCUUGCUAGCAAGUCCAUUCCUUCACUGGCAUUAGAGCCUGCUUCUUCGGGAUUCCAAUGUGUACUGAAGACCAGCUGAGACAUCCAGCCUCCUAGCCUGAGCAACUACUGGAUUCCUGGACUUUCCAUUCACACUCAGCCAUUGUUGGAUUAGCUGGACCACUGCUUGUAAGUCAUUCUAGUAGACUCCCCUAUAGAUACAUGGAGAGAGAGAGUGGGUGUGUUGCACAAAUUCUAAAUGGUCUUAUAAUAAAAACCCGGAGCCAGAUAUCAGGGUGAAAGCUGGAAGAUCCGAGAAGCGGAGCGUGCCAUGGCUACCACCUCUUACAUCACCAACUCCUCAGCCUGACAGAGCCUGAAUGAACGUGAAUUCCUGUCUCCUUCUGCCCUAUAUUCCUUUCUCUACCCAGCCAUAUCACUUCCUGUCUCAACCUUCCUAGUGCUGGGAUUAAAGCUUCCAUCAGACACCCACAGAGACACCAGAACAGGAGAGUGUGAGGAACCACACAGCACCAAGAGAGAGGUUCGUGCCUGCAGAGACUCCCCCAGAUGACUCAGACUGUGAGGUAAAGAUGUGCUGAACGGAUGGGAUCGCCAGCGACUGCCCCUCAUCUUCUUUCUCUUCAGGGUUUGAGAACGGGCCAGAGCAGGAGGAAUUUAUCCAUUUGUUAAAAUGAUGAUGUCUACCAAGAUCCCUCCUCUCUCAGGAUCUUAAGGGACACAAAAAAACCAAAAUAAAACCAAACAAACUGAAACUGAGCAGAAAGGACAAACCCACUAGUAUGUGAUAAAACAGGGAAAAAAAAAAAAGAACCAAAUCCACCAAAGAAGAGCACAGAGAGAGCCAAAUCUAGCACAGAACCUGCAGGGAUGGCAUGGCGAGACAGCGGAAGAGGUGGAGCCUCGGGAAGGACCACAUCUAUCAGUCUGUAAUCAGGCCUCUGUAGGCACGUGCACAACCUCUUCCCACCCCACAUACAUAUAUAAAAAUCACAAAUAAAUCCUUAAAAACCGAACAAUAAUAAACGUAAAUGGAACAGAUUCUCUUGUUAAGGAGACUAUAAAUUGGAUUAAGCUGUACACGUGUACAGCAUGUUCAACUGGAACCUCUAAAGCCCCUCUGCUCAGUGGGCAGAAACGUGCAGCCAAUGCAUACUAACUGAAUGUAGCCGCAGGGAGACGAGGGCGCAGGGUAGAUACUGGUCCAAGUGAAAUUCAACGGCAAACACAUGAACAGAGUGGGGAAAGUCAUUCUGUAUUUCACAGUGAAGACAGGCU